Molecule: ribosomal RNA, 252 nt
Filed under: uncultured bacterium
Lineage: Bacteria
Description: partial 16S ribosomal RNA
Rfam family: Bacterial small subunit ribosomal RNA
Source: RNAcentral
UACGAAGGGGGCUAGCGUUGCUCGGAAUCACUGGGUUUAAAGGGUGCGUAGGCGGCUUUUUAAGUCAGUGGUGAAAUCCAGCAGCUUAGCUGUUGAAUUGCCAUUGAUACUGGAGAGCUUGAGUACAGACGAGGUAGGCGGAAUUUAUGGUGUAGCGGUGAAAUGCAUAGAUACCAUAAAGAACACCAUUGCGAAGGCAGCUUACUAGGCUGUAACUGACGCUGAGGCACGAAAGUGUGGGGAUCAAACAGG